GACGAACGCUGGCGGCGUGCUUAACACAUGCAAGUCGAACGGAAAGGCCCCUUUUGGGGUACUCGAGUGGCGAACGGGUGAGUAACACGUGAGUAACCUGCCCUUGACUUCGGGAUAACUUCAGUAAACUGGGGCUAAUACCGGAUAGGAAUCCUUGCUGCAUGGUGGGGGUGGGAAAGCUUCGGCGGUUUUGGAUGGACUCGCGGCUUAUCAGCUUGUUGGUGGGGUAGUGGCUUACCAAGGCUUUGACGGGUAGCCGGCCUGAGAGGGCGACCGGCCACAUUGGGACUGAGAUACGGCCCAGACUCCUACGGGAGGCAGCAGUGGGGAAUAUUGCACAAUGGGCGGAAGCCUGAUGCAGCAAAGCCGCGUGCGGGAUGACGGCCUUCGGGUUGUAAACCGCUUUCAGCAGGGGCGAAGCUUGUGGUGACGGUACCUGCAGAAGAAGCACCGGCUAACUACGUG
Molecule: ribosomal RNA, 465 nt
Filed under: uncultured bacterium
Lineage: Bacteria
Description: partial 16S ribosomal RNA
Rfam family: Bacterial small subunit ribosomal RNA
Source: RNAcentral